GGAGUUAGCCGGUGCUUCUUCUGCGAGUAACGUCACAGAUGUAAGGUAUUAACUUACACCCUUUCCUCCUCGCUGAAAGUGCUUUACAACCCGAAGGCCUUCUUCACACACGCGGCAUGGCUGCAUCAGGGUUUCCCCCAUUGUGCAAUAUUCCCCACUGCUGCCUCCCGUAGGAGUCUGGGCCGUGUCUCAGUCCCAGUGUGGCUGAUCAUCCUCUCAGACCAGCUAGGGAUCGUCGCCUAGGUGAGCCUUUACCUCACCUACUAGCUAAUCCCACCUGGGCUUAUCCAUCAGCGCAAGGCCCGAAGGUCCCCUGCUUUCCCCCGUAGGGCGUAUGCGGUAUUAGCAGUCGUUUCCAACUGUUAUCCCCCACAAAUGGGCAAAUUCCCAGGCAUUACUCACCCGUCCGCCGCUCGUCAUCUUCAAAAGCAAGCUUUUAGAAAUGUUACCGCUCGACUUGCAUGUGUUAGGCCUGCCGCCAGCGUUCAAUCUGAGCCAGAUCAAACUCUGA
This 511-nucleotide ribosomal RNA is filed under the name uncultured bacterium. Its description in RNAcentral is "partial 16S ribosomal RNA". The record is from RNAcentral.